GGACCCACACAAGCAGUGGAUCACGUGGUUUAAUUCGACAAUAAACGGGGAACCUUACCCAGACUUGACAUCUAUAGAAUCUUUUGGAAACAGAAGAGUGCCCGUAAGGGAGCUAUAAGACAGGUGCUGCAUGGUUGUCGUCAGCUCGUGCCUUGAGGUGUUCGGUUAAGUCCGUUAACGAGCGCAACCCAUGUCAUUAGUUGUAUUUUCUAAUGAGACUGCCUAGGUUAACUAGGAGGAAGGUGUGGAUGACGUCAAAUCAGCAUGGCUUUUACGUCUGGGGCUACACACAUGAUACAAUGGUGCGUACAAAGAGCAGCAAUACGGUAACGUGGAGCUAAUCUCAAAAACGCAUCUCAGUCCGGAUUGAGGGCUGCAACUCGCCCUCAUGAAGUUGGAAUUGCUAGUAAUCGUAAAUCAGACAUGUUACGGUGAAUAUGUUCCUGGGUCUU
This 452-nucleotide ribosomal RNA is filed under the name uncultured bacterium. Its description in RNAcentral is "bacterial SSU rRNA". It matches the Rfam family "Bacterial small subunit ribosomal RNA", at positions 917 to 1382 of the family's 1533-position model. The record is from RNAcentral.